Molecule: transfer RNA, 72 nt
Filed under: Camelus bactrianus (Bactrian camel)
Lineage: Eukaryota; Metazoa; Chordata; Mammalia; Artiodactyla; Camelidae
Also listed under: 2 other names
Rfam family: tRNA
About the family: Transfer RNA (tRNA) molecules are approximately 80 nucleotides in length.
Source: Rfam by way of RNAcentral
GAGGGUAUAGCUCAGUGGUAGAGCACAUACUUAGCAUGCACAAGGUUCUGGGUUCAAUUCCCAGUACCUCCA